ACUUUAUUCAUAAAAAAUAUGUUACCAUUUAUUUGUAAAAGACUUAACUUAUCUUAAAGUGAAUUUCGUUGGGGCGACGAAAGUAAAAAACUAACUGCUUUAAGUUUAAACAAUAAUAUUUGAAUACAAACCGAUCCUUAUUUCAGAUUCUAARAAGAAGUU
Molecule: ribosomal RNA, 162 nt
Filed under: Calliaxina novaebritanniae
Lineage: Eukaryota; Metazoa; Arthropoda; Malacostraca; Decapoda; Callianassidae
Description: partial 16S ribosomal RNA
Source: RNAcentral